RNAcentral lists this long non-coding RNA (1586 nucleotides) under Marmota monax (woodchuck). Lineage: Eukaryota; Metazoa; Chordata; Mammalia; Rodentia; Sciuridae. The record is from RNAcentral.
CCCAGGGAUGCUUUACCACGGAGACACAUUCUGAGCUUUUUGUUUUUUAUUCUUGAGAUAGGAUUUCAUUGAGUUGCUUAGGGCCUUGCUAAAUUACUGAGGCUGACCUCAAACUUGUGAUCUUUCUGCCUUGGCCUCCUGAGUCGCUGACAAUACAGGUGUGCACCCCCAUGCCUAGCUUCCAUUACCUUUUGAUUGAGUAUCUAUUCAUACCUGCCCCUGGAGAACAGAGAUCAUACCUCUCUCUUUCUACAAUCCUCCAAGGCUCCCCAUUCCUCCCAGAUGAGAAUCUUUAGCAUGAGCCCCCAGGCCAGGUGGGAGCAUUUGCCACUUUCUGUGUGUAAGGGACAGGUGUUACUGGGAACCCCAGGGAUGCUCUGCCACUGAGCCACAUACCCAGCUCUUUAUUUUUUGAGACAGGGUCUGGCUAAGUUGCUUAGGCCUCACUAAAUGGCUGAGACAGACUUGAAUUUAUAAUCCUUCCGCCUCAGUCUCGGGAGUCAGUAGGAUCAAGGGUGUGGGCCACUACACCCAGUUUUUAUUUUUAAUUUUGAGACAGGAUCUCACUCAAACUUGUGAUCCUCCAGCCUCACCCUCCAGAGUCACUGGGAUUACAGAUGGGGUACUGCUGUGCCUGCUGCUCCUCGGUCUUCUAAUGGGUUCUUCUGAUUUAAAUCAGGCAGGGCUUUCUGCUGAAGACUCUGGGUUCCAGCCUGGGGUAGGCUUCGUCUUGUGUCUGGGCCACUGUUCACUCUUCAUUGGACUUACCAGUGCACAUUCUUCAAGACUCAGGUCAAAGCCAGUGUUUUCCCAGGAAGGUUUCACACUCCCUGAGCAGGAUGCGCUGCUGCCUGUUCACCCAAGUCACCAGCUCUGUCCCGGCGUGAACCUUCGCUCUCCUUACAGCAUCAGUCUUUGCAGAUGAUCUGGGAGCUCCAGUGCCUCCUUGUUCCCUACUGCCAUCCAGCACUAGCACAGAAGUCACAAUGUGGGGGGUGGCCAGGAAGGGGAGGGUUUGAUCGAUUUGUCCCCUGAUCUCCCAGGCUGAGGACUGUGCCCUGUGCCCUGCUAUUGCAUGCCACGUGUGUCCUCAGAGCCAUGUUCUUCCCUUGCCUUCAGGGAUAACCCCUAGGGAUCCAAACAGUGACCCUGAAGCUGGGCAUUCCUUUGUCCACACCCCCAGGCCCAGCAAGACCCAUGGUCCGCUGUGCACUCAGGGACUUGUCCUUGUGCUCUCCAAAUCCCCUGGACAUUCUCAUGACCAUGGAUGACCUCACACCUACUUUUUCAACAGAAUUUUUGGGCACAGUUUAUGGGCAGAUUGCACCCAAAGCCUGGACCCUCUUCCCAAAGGACAAACAAGGGUCAAACAUUGGGUCAACUCAGUCUGUAAUAGUAUAAUCCGUGAAGGUGUCCAAUGACCCUGAAAGAGGCACUAGGCACAGGGCAUUGAGGCAGUCCUUGAACACCCUUUGCCAUAGCAAACCGCGCCCCCCAAAUCCUUUCUAAUAAAAUAAUUCAUGGGAGCAAAAAUGAAUUUAUGAGAAUGUUUAUCACAGCAUUGCUCAUCACAGUGGGAAAAAAAA